UAUGAUAUUUAACUGCCUUGUAGUUAGGUAAAAGAUGCCUAAUAAUCCUAUUUUUAGGGAAAGAAAUGUUAAUUUCGCUUUAAGAUGUUUAUAUCUUGGGUCGUAGUAGUUGAGGUCUAGUCUUAACUAGCAUAAGUACCCCUAGCCAAGACUGAAAGGUCGAUUGGUCACAGUGUGGCAUGAACAAAGCCCACGGUUUUUAUCACAGCAGUGAGGAAUAUUGGUCAAUAGCCUAACGGCUGAACCAGCAACUUGGAAGAAUGAAGAGCGAAAGCUCUUUGUAUGUAUAAUACAAAAUCAACUCAGUUGAUUAUAGUUCUAGGUAAAGAGAUGAUAAUGACAUUUUUUACCUAUGUGUCUUGACAAAUUCUCGUGCCAGCAGUCGCGGUAAUACGAGUAAGACUAGUGUUAUUCAUCUUUAAUAGGUUUAAAGGGUACCUAGACGGUUAAUCAAGCCUGCAAAGGGACUAGUUAACUAGAGUUUAAUGUGAGAAAGAUGUGAAUAGAGGAGUGUAGAGAUGAAAUUCUGUGAUACCCUUUGGACAGGUAACGGCGAAAGCAACUUUUUAUGUAAAAACUGACGUUGAGGGACGAAGGCUCGAAAUCAACAAACAGGAUUAGAUACCCUAGUAAUCCGGGCAGACAAUGAUGAAUGUCAUAGAUAAGAUUAAGCUAUCUAAAGAAAAUUCCCCUUUUUCUUAGAUAUUUUUUGUCUAUAAAUGAAAGUGUAAGCAUUCCACCUCAAGAGUAAUAUGGCAACAUAUAAACUGAAAUCAUUAGACCGUUUCUGAAACCAGUAGUGAAGUAUGUUGUUUAAUUUGAUGAUCCACGGAAAACCUUACCACAAUUUGAAUAUUUUUCUAUUACUGAAAAUUACAGGAGUUGCACGGCUGUCUUCAGUUAAUGUCGUGAGAUUUUGGUUAGUUCCAUUAAAUUAACGUAAGCCCUUAUUUUAUUUUAAAAAUAAAGUAGUUCGCCACUAUA
RNAcentral lists this ribosomal RNA (984 nucleotides) under Cyanodermella oleoligni. RNAcentral's name for it is "SSU rRNA". It matches the Rfam family "Bacterial small subunit ribosomal RNA", at positions 114 to 1142 of the family's 1533-position model. The record is from RNAcentral. Lineage: Eukaryota; Fungi; Ascomycota; Lecanoromycetes; Ostropales; Stictidaceae.